UCCCCGUUUUUCGCCCCAAAUCCCCGUUUUUCACCAAAAUCCCCGUUUUUCACCCCAAAUCCUGCAGGCUGAUUCCCAUCCUGGUGCACGGGAUGCGCUACUCCGAGAUCGACAGCAUCCUGCUCAAGGGCGCCGCGGAGGAGGACGGCGCGGCGCCGGACGGCGAGCAGGACGUCCGGCCGUGCUACCUGCGGAAGCGCUCGGCCCAACGCUGCUCAAGGAGCUGCUUUUCCACCUGGAGUGGGUGGGCAAGGAGUCGGGGAUCCUGGUGCUGGGGGACAUCGCCAAAGGAGUCCAUCCAGAAGUUGAUGCCGCCGCUGAUCCAGAAGUGCAACGAGCUCAAGGACAAGGACGAGGACGAGGACCUGUUCCCGCUGCUCGAGGUGCCCCCGAGGGUGCUGGCAGGGUGGCAGGGUGCCCGUGCCACCCGUGACGCUGUCCCCGCUGUCCCCGGUGCCGGUCGGUGGCCGCGGCGCUGCAGCGCGGGUUCCUGCCCCACCGUGAGCCGGGGCACCGGCGCUGCGUGGCACCGGUGGCACCCGCAGCAGUGACACCCACGGCAGUGACACCCAUGUCCCCAUGGCAGUGACACCCACGGCAGUGACACCCAUGUCCCCAUGGCGGUGACACCCACGGUGGUGACACCCAUGUCCCCACGGCAGUGACACCCAUGUCCCCAUGGCGGUGACACCCGUGUCCCCAUGGCAGUGACACCCACGGUGGUGACACCCAUGUCCCCAUGGCGGUGACACCCGUGUCCCCAUGGCAGUGACACCCAUGUCCCCAUGGCAGUGACACCCAUGCCCCACGGCAGUGACACCCAUGUUCCCAGGCGGUGACACCCAUGCCCCACGGCAGUGGCACCCAUGUCCCCAUGGCAGUGACACCCAUGCCCCACGGCAGUGACACCCAUGUCCCACGGCAGUGGCACCCCCGUCCCGCGGGUUCCGGUGCCCGGUUCCCGGUCCGGUUCGUUUUUUCACCGUUUCCGGGGCGGGUGGGGGGAGGGGCGGUGCCAUAAAGGCCUUUGUGGACCGAGCGGGCCGAGUCCGCGUCCUCCGUUACCGGCGGGGGAAACGCGGGGGGGCUCCGGUACCGGCGGCGCCGCGGCGCUGGCUUCCGG
Molecule: long non-coding RNA, 1123 nt
Filed under: Lonchura striata (white-rumped munia)
Lineage: Eukaryota; Metazoa; Chordata; Aves; Passeriformes; Estrildidae
Description: domestica (Bengalese finch) lncRNA (ENSLSDG00000003125.1)
Source: RNAcentral